Molecule: long non-coding RNA, 1040 nt
Organism: Mirounga angustirostris (Northern elephant seal)
Lineage: Eukaryota; Metazoa; Chordata; Mammalia; Carnivora; Phocidae
Exons: 3
Source: RefSeq, a predicted model, not a curated record
CUAAAAGAGAAGAAGGAGAAAUUUUUCCACUCUUACAGUUGGCAAUCAUGAAGGGACUUCCACCGGCUGGACCUUGCUCACUCUGGGGCUGCUGCAACUGAGAAAUCCUAGGAUCCCUGAAAAAAGCCAGCAGAAGCCAUGUAAGCUAAAGCUGAACAACCUGUUAUAAACUUCAGAGAAACCGCCACAACACCUCAUGCAUGGACAGUCUUCAUGCCUGUUGCUGUGCAGCUACUCAGAGAGAUCACUACAGGCAUUCAAACUACAAACCAGGAGAGUCACCGCCAGCCCGUAUCCAUCUGAAGAUGCUUCAAGCCAGACAUCUAAAAUGUCUUCUAUUAAAUACCUGAUUGUUUGAACCACAGGUCCAACUUUGGGAGCCCCCCACAUCUCUGCUUCCUGAAAUGAGACACAACUAAGUGAAGUGACCUACCCUCAGGACGAACAGACUAGUUCGAUGAGAUGGAACAAUCUACCAAUCCAACUUCUAGACUAUGAAAUUUCUUGGGGAAGUUUCAAAGGCAGGACUGAAGGGGAGCAGAAUAUGCCACCCCAAAAUGUGCCACUUUGGCAUGUGGAUGAUUUUGAGCUGAAGUCAGUCAAGACCCAAGACAAACUUCUACCCCCCCCUCAACUACCUAAAAGAAUUUUGAUAGGGGGCCUGGUCCAGAAAGGGAGCUAUUACCGGAAGACUUACCUGUGUGGCAGGACGACAGUUAAUUACAAAACAGGCUUUUCUUAUCGUCCUGUGAAUUACCCUCCUCCCCUUUGAAGCCCCGGGCCACUAUCCCAUUCCUCAGCUGGGGAUGGCAUGUAAGCCUCAACUCCCUGACAGGCCCUUGAGUCUCAGAUCUUUGGGGCUCUGGCAUAUAGGAAAUUUAACUUCUUUUUGUUCUGUUAAUCUGUCUUAUGUCAACUUGAUUAUCAGACCAGCCGAAGAACAUAAAAGGGGAGAAAGGAAAAUUUGUCUGCCCCAUACCUUUAACAUGACUGUUCUUCACGUGGCAAUGCGCAGUGGUCUAAAAGACUCGCCUACAUCA